This is a long non-coding RNA of Xiphophorus maculatus (southern platyfish), 589 nucleotides long. RefSeq lists it as uncharacterized. Lineage: Eukaryota; Metazoa; Chordata; Actinopteri; Cyprinodontiformes; Poeciliidae. The transcript has 5 exons. The record is from RefSeq and is a predicted model, not a curated record.
GCAGUCUGUCCGGACAAUAUGCCUUAACUACUUCCAGGCUGACUUGGGCUAUGAUUGGAUCGCCUGGAGAGGUUAAAGGGUAACCAGGCGUUCCUGAACCUGUAGGAGAUUGGGAGCAGCUUGUUGGUCUUCUUCAUGCUCUGGACCUUAGCGUGCGUCUCCUCAUCCAUAGUCUUGUAGCAUCGCCUGGCGUAAUCCAGAAGCUUCUCCUUGGAGGCCUCAAACUCUCCUACAUCAGUCACCUGCAGGAGAAAAACUUCAGUCUUUACAAAGCAGGAGCUCUGCGAUCGGGGAGGUGGAGGCCAUCGUGUUUCGGUCGACUCCGUGGAUCUGGAAGGCUCUGGACAUGCUCCUCACCCGCUGAUCCUCCUCAUCUUCAUCUUCGGCUCUCCGGUGCCACGCCCUCGGCUCUUCUUCUUUGACCCGCUCUCCACAGUCGAGUCUGCAUCAUCCUCCACCUCUUCUUCCCCCUCUUCCUCAACAAACUCUUCCUCUGUGGACAGUGAUGUUGCGGCGGAUCCGAGCUCCGGGGCGCUGGAGGCGUUUGAGGGUCAUCCCCGACCUGGUGGUCAUCGGGGAAGGAGGAGAU